Molecule: ribosomal RNA, 393 nt
Filed under: bacterium enrichment culture
Lineage: Bacteria
Description: bacterial SSU rRNA
Rfam family: Bacterial small subunit ribosomal RNA
Source: RNAcentral
UAAGACGAAGGACCCAAGCGUUAUCCGGAUUCAUUGGGUUUAAAGGGUGCGUAGGCGGGUUGAUAAGUCAGUGGUGAAAGCCCAACGCUUAACGUUGGAACUGCCAUUGAUACUGUCGAUCUUGAAUGUGUUUGAUGUGGGCGGAAUAUGACAUGUAGCGGUGAAAUGCUUAGAUAUGUCAUAGAACACCGAUUGCGAAGGCAGCUCACAAAACCACUAUUGACGCUGAGGCACGAAAGCGUGGGGAUCAAACAGGAUUAGAUACCCUGGUAGUCCACGCCGUAAACUUUGAUCACUCGCUGUUGGCGAUACACUGUCAGCGGCUAAGCGAAAGCGUUAAGUGAUCCACCUGGGGAGUACGAUCGCAAGAUUGAAACUCAAAUGAAUUGACGG